GACGAACGCUGGCGGCGUGCUUAACACAUGCAAGUCGAACGGAAAGGCCCUGCUUUUGUGGGGUGCUCGAGUGGCGAACGGGUGAGUAACACGUGAGUAACCUGCCCUUGACUUUGGGAUAACUUCAGGAAACUGGGGCUAAUACCGGAUAGGAGCUCCUGCUGCAUGGUGGGGGUUGGAAAGUUUCGGCGGUUGGGGAUGGACUCGCGGCUUAUCAGCUUGUUGGUGGGGUAGUGGCUUACCAAGGCUUUGACGGGUAGCCGGCCUGAGAGGGUGACCGGACAAAAUGGGACCUAGAAACGGCCCAAGCUACCACGGGAGGGAGGAAUGGGGAAAAUUGCACCAUGGGCGGAAACCUUAUGCAAGAACGCCCCGUGGGGGAUGACGGCCCUCGGGUUGGAAACCGCUUUCGCCUGUGACGAAGCGUGAGUGACGGUAAUGGGUAAAGAAGCACCGGCUAACUACGUG
This 468-nucleotide ribosomal RNA is filed under the name uncultured bacterium. Its description in RNAcentral is "partial 16S ribosomal RNA". It matches the Rfam family "Bacterial small subunit ribosomal RNA", at positions 28 to 507 of the family's 1533-position model. The record is from RNAcentral.